UUACAGGAUCACAAAUCAUUGUUGCCCCGGUGGACGAAGACGCAGCUGCCUCUUUCAAUGAAUUGUUGGUCUUUUUUUAUGCUAAGGUAGUACUUGGUGAGUCCGUGAGCUGAUGAUGCCUUGGUAUGGAUGCUUGACUGAUUAACGAUGGAAAUGUCAGGGCGCAGUGAAAGAAUGUGGAAACAGCCGUCAUGCCCCUCUAAUUUCUCAUCUACUGUGUACAAUAGUGGAUUCCCUGAUCCAGGAUUAGCACCAUAUCCAAUGAUGAGUAAUUUCUAAAAAGGGUUCAUUGCACAGCCCAAAAUAGUGCUCUGCAUCUGUUUUCUGCAUGGAUGGCUUCAGUAGCCAUACCAACAUAUUGGCUUCAGGUGUAGCCGUGCAGCAAUGCCACAUCUUCCUUCAAAGGUGGAGACAAUGCUAUAUUAUAGCUUGUGACGGUUGGUUUGGUGUAGUAGAUGGAGUUGAUCAAUAGUUAUUUGAAGGACCAAAGUUGAUGGCAUAAUUGAUCUCCCUCUCCUCUGUCCUGCUACUGACAUUAGAAGUGCAAGCUUUUCUUGUAAUUGUUUUUUAGUGUACUUUUCUUGUUUGUGAUAAUCAAUUUUUUACUCCGAUUGAGUUGACCUUAGGAGUGCAAUGUAUAAAUUGUGCUUGAUCCAUAAAAUAUUUUUGCUUUUAUUCUGUUUUUAUAGAGAACCAUCCAAAUUGUCAGGUUAGUAUAGUUUAUAUGAAAUUGUCUUAAUUACUAAAAGAAUUUAUAUGGAGUGCA
This is a long non-coding RNA of Oryza sativa Japonica Group (Japanese rice), 766 nucleotides long. RefSeq lists it as uncharacterized. NCBI's taxonomy places the organism in Eukaryota, Viridiplantae, Streptophyta, Magnoliopsida, Poales, Poaceae. The record is from RefSeq and is a predicted model, not a curated record.